Non-coding RNA from Triticum aestivum (bread wheat), 115 nucleotides. Lineage: Eukaryota; Viridiplantae; Streptophyta; Magnoliopsida; Poales; Poaceae. The record is from Rfam.
CAAGUACUCCCUCCGUCCGGAAUUACUUGUUAUCAAAAUGGAUGUGUCUAGAACUAAAAUACAUCUAGAUACAUCCAUUUCAAUGACAAGUAUUUUCGGACGGAGGGAGUACAAG